This 253-nucleotide ribosomal RNA is filed under the name uncultured bacterium. RNAcentral's name for it is "partial 16S ribosomal RNA". It matches the Rfam family "Bacterial small subunit ribosomal RNA", at positions 524 to 776 of the family's 1533-position model. The record is from RNAcentral.
UACAGAGGUCCCAAGCGUUGUUCGGAUUCACUGGGCGUAAAGGGUGCGUAGGUGGUCGGAUAAGUUUGAUGUGAAAUCUCCGGGCUUAACCCGGAAACUGCAUUGAAUACUAUCUGGCUGGAGGGUUGGAGGGGGGACUGGAAUACUUGGUGUAGCAGUGAAAUGCGUAGAUAUCGAGAGGAACACCUGCGGCGAAGGCGGGUUGCUGGGCUGACACUGACGCUGAUGCGCGAAAGCUAGGGGAGCGAACGGG